AAAUGAUUGGCUUUCUUGGAGCUGGGGAGGUAUUUGCAGAGGCGGGUGUGUGAAAUAUUGUUAUUGCCGUUAUUUUUUUACGCGCCAAGAGGUGAUGAUUU
This is a long non-coding RNA of Populus euphratica (Euphrates poplar), 101 nucleotides long. RefSeq lists it as uncharacterized. NCBI's taxonomy places the organism in Eukaryota, Viridiplantae, Streptophyta, Magnoliopsida, Malpighiales, Salicaceae. The record is from RefSeq and is a predicted model, not a curated record. The transcript has 3 exons.